GACGAACGCUGGCGGCGUGCUUAACACAUGCAAGUCGAACGGAAAGGCCCUGCUUUUGUGGGGUGCUCGAGUGGCGAACGGGUGAGUAACACGUGAGUAACCUGCCCUUGACUUUGGGAUAACUUCAGGAAACUGGGGCUAAUACCGGAUAGGAGCUCCUGCUGCAUGGUGGGGGUUGGAAAGUUUCGGCGGUUGGGGAUGGACUCGCGGCUUAUCAGCUUGUUGGUGGGGUAGUUGCUUACCAAGGCUUUGACGGGUAGCCGGCCUGAGUGGGUGACCGGCCACAUUGGGACGGAGAUACGGCCCAGACUCCUACGGGAGGCAGCAGUGGGGAAUAUUGCACAAUGGGCGGAAGCCUGAUGCAGCAACGCAGCGUGCGGGAUGACGGCCUUCGGGUUGUAAACCGCUUUCGCCUGUGACGAAGCGUGAGUGACGGUAAUGGGUAAAGAAGCACCGGCUAACUACGUG
This 468-nucleotide ribosomal RNA is filed under the name uncultured bacterium. RNAcentral describes it as "partial 16S ribosomal RNA". It matches the Rfam family "Bacterial small subunit ribosomal RNA", at positions 28 to 507 of the family's 1533-position model. The record is from RNAcentral.